UAGCUCAGCUAGUAGACCACAAGGCUCUUAACCUUGUGGUCGUGGGUUUGAGUCCCACG
This 59-nucleotide transfer RNA is filed under the name Glycine max (soybean). RNAcentral's name for it is "tRNA-Lys". It matches the Rfam family "tRNA", at positions 8 to 63 of the family's 71-position model. From Rfam's summary of the family: Transfer RNA (tRNA) molecules are approximately 80 nucleotides in length. RNAcentral also lists the same sequence under 1 other name. The record is from RNAcentral. Lineage: Eukaryota; Viridiplantae; Streptophyta; Magnoliopsida; Fabales; Fabaceae.